RNAcentral lists this ribosomal RNA (1671 nucleotides) under Protomyctophum arcticum (Arctic telescope). RNAcentral's name for it is "16S rRNA". The stretch from base 142 to 1564 matches the Rfam family "Bacterial large subunit ribosomal RNA". The record is from RNAcentral. Lineage: Eukaryota; Metazoa; Chordata; Actinopteri; Myctophiformes; Myctophidae.
ACCUAAAAAGCUAGCCCAACCCCUACAAAAACAGCCCCCUAUAAACCACUCCCUACAAGCUAAUCAACAAAACAUUUUACCUCCCCAGUACGGGCGACAGAAAAGGAAAUCCAGAGCAAUAGAAAAAGUACCGCAAGGGAAAGCUGAAAGAGAAAUGAAACAACGACCCCAAGCCCCAAAAAGCAGAGAUGACCCCUCGUACCUUUUGCAUCAUGACUUAGCAAGUACACCUGAGCAAAGAGAACUUUAGUUCAGCCCCCCGAAACCAGACGAGCUACUUCAAGGCAGCCUAUUAAACCCGUAGGGCACACCCGUCUCUGUAGCAAAAGAGUGGGAAGACCUUUAAGUAGAGGUGAAAAGCCUAUCGAGCCUGGUCAUAGCUGGUUGUCUAAAAAGCGAAUUUAAGUUCAGCCUCCCGACUCCCCCCCAUCAACGACACCCAUGUCCCCACCGAUUAAGGGCGACCAGGAGAGUUAGUCAAAGAGGGUACAGCCCCUUUGAAAAAGGAUACAACCUCCCCGGGUGAACAAAGACCAUACUAUUUAAGGAAAAUCGUCCUAGUGGGCCCAAAAGCAGCCACCUAAAAAGAAAGCGUUAUAGCUCCUAUAAACCCCGCCCCUUAAUACCGAACCCCACUCUUCCCUCCCCGCCCCCUAUUAGACCCUCUCACACACCCUGAGAAAGACCCUGCUAAGAUGAGUAAUAAGAGUACGCCCCUCUCCACCACACAUGCGUAAGUCGGAACGGACUAACCCCCGACAAUUAACGGCCCACCAAUGAGGGCACUGUAGCACCACACAGAUAACUAGAAAACCCAACACACACAGCCGUUAACCCAACACAGGUGUGUCCCCCCGGAAAGACUAAAAGAAAGGGAAGGAACUCGGCAAAUACAAGCCUCGCCUGUUUACCAAAAACAUCGCCUCUUGCAAAACGAACGAAUAAGAGGUCCCGCCUGCCCAGUGACUAUAUGUUAAACGGCCGCGGUAUUUUGACCGUGCAAAGGUAGCGUAAUAAUUUGUCUUUUAAAUGAAGACUAGUAUGAAUGGCGUCACGAGGGCUUAGCUGUCUCCCCUCUAAAGUCAAUGAAAUUGAUCUCCCCGUGCAGAAGCGGGGAUAUGCUCGUAAGACGAGAAGACCCUAUGGAGCUUUAGACUUAUGCAACCCACAUCAAACACCCCCCAAAGGAAACAAACAGGGUGGCCCUUGCUGAAAUGUCUUCGGUUGGGGCGACCACGGGGAAAAACAAAACCCCCACAUGGACAGGGGCCACAUACACCCUAAAACAUAGACCCACAGGUCAAAUCAACAGUACUUCUGACCACCAAUGACCCGGCGCAAGCCGAUUAAUGAACCUAGUUACCCUAGGGAUAACAGCGCAAUCCCCUCCGACAGCCCUUAUCGACGAGGGGGUUUACGACCUCGAUGUUGGAUCAGGACAUCCUAAUGGUGCAGCCGCUAUUAAGGGUUCGUUUGUUCAACGAUUAAUAGUCCUACGCGAUCUGAGUUCAGACCGGAGUAAUCCAGGUCAGUUUCUAUCUACGCAUUGAUCUUUUUUAGUACGAAAGGACCGAAAAGAAGAAGCCUCUCUCAACGACACGCUUCACCCUCCGCUAAUGAAUACAAAUAAAAUAGACAGAGGGCAAAACCCACGAACCCUAAAAAAGGGUU